RNAcentral lists this unclassified non-coding RNA (209 nucleotides) under plant metagenome. RNAcentral's name for it is "partial contains small subunit ribosomal RNA, internal transcribed spacer 1, and 5.8S ribosomal RNA". The record is from RNAcentral.
UCUCCGUUGGUGAACCAGCGGAGGGAUCAUUACUGGAAUCGCAAGAUCCCACAACCCUGUGAACCUACCGAAACGUUGCCUCGGCGGGUGCCCGGCCUCUGCGCCGGGCGCUGCGCCCGCCGGCGGCCCCCUACUCUGUCUCUGCAGCGUAGCAUCUCAGAGUCCCAGAAAACAAGUCAAAACUUUCAACAACGGAUCUCUUGGCUCUA